This 328-nucleotide small nuclear RNA is filed under the name Canis lupus dingo (dingo). Its description in RNAcentral is "7SK RNA (ENSCAFG00020025820.1)". It matches the Rfam family "7SK RNA". From Rfam's summary of the family: 7SK was discovered as an abundant small nuclear RNA in the mid-70s but a possible function has only recently been suggested. Two independent studies have found that 7SK RNA binds the CDK9/cyclin T complex (known as elongation factor P-TEFb). P-TEFb activates transcription by phosphorylating the C-terminal domain of RNA polymerase II. Lineage: Eukaryota; Metazoa; Chordata; Mammalia; Carnivora; Canidae. The record is from Rfam by way of RNAcentral.
GGAUGUGAGGGCGAUCUGGCUGCGACAUCUGUCACCCCAUUGAUCGCCAGGGUUGAUUCGGCUGAUCUGGCUGGCUAGGCGGGUGUCCCCUUCCUCCCUCACCGCUCCAUGUGCGUCCCUCCCGAAGCUGCGCGCUCGGUCGAAGAGGACGACCAUCCCCGAUAGAGGAGGACCGUUCUUCGGUCAAGGGUAUACGAGUAGCUGCGCUCCCCUGCUAGAACCUCCAAACAAGCUCUCAAAGGCAGGCGCCAAACCACUGCGCCACCCAGGGAUCCCAUCAACACUCCUUUUCCACUCUUAUUGUGGGUGGAAUAUAUGACUGAUAAAU